GGUUAAGCGACUAAGCGUACACGGUGGAUGCCUAGGCAAUCAGAGGCGAUGAAGGACGUGCUAAUCUGCGAUAAGCGUCGGUAAGGUGAUAUGAACC
Molecule: ribosomal RNA, 97 nt
Filed under: Providencia huaxiensis
Lineage: Bacteria; Pseudomonadati; Pseudomonadota; Gammaproteobacteria; Enterobacterales; Morganellaceae
Description: partial 23S ribosomal RNA
Rfam family: Bacterial large subunit ribosomal RNA
Source: RNAcentral